Molecule: long non-coding RNA, 8170 nt
Filed under: Volvox carteri
Lineage: Eukaryota; Viridiplantae; Chlorophyta; Chlorophyceae; Chlamydomonadales; Volvocaceae
Description: long non-coding RNA (VCAR_LNC001747)
Source: RNAcentral
AUCCGCCUGUUCACCGUCGCACCCUAUGGGUGCGAUGGUAGCCACACCGCACAUCCGCCUGUUCACCAUCGCGCCCUCUGGGCGCGAUGGUAGCCGCACCACACAUCCGCCUGUUCACCGUCGCACCCUAUGGGUGCGAUGGUAGCCGCACCACACAUCCGCCUGUUCACUGUCGCACCCUAUGGGUGCGAUGGUAGCCGCACCGCACAUCCGCCUGUUCACCAUCACGCCCUAUGGGCGCGAUGGUAGCCGCACCGCACAUCCGCCUGUUCACCAUCGCACCCUAUGGGUGCGAUGGUAGCCGCACCGCACAUCCGCCUGUUCACCGUCGCACCCUAUGGGUGCGAUGGUAGCCGCGCCGCACAUCCGCCUGUUCACCGUCGCGCCCUAUGGGUGCGAUGGUAGCCGCGCCGCACAUCCGCCUGUUCACCGUCGCACCCUAUGGGUGCGAUGGUAGCCACACCGCACAUCCGCCUGUUCACCAUCGCGCCCUAUGGGCGCGAUGGUAGCCGCACCACACAUCCGCCUGUUCACCGUCGCGCCCUAUGGGUGCGAUGGUAGCCGCGCUGCACAUCCGCCUGUUCACCGUCGCACCCUAUGGGUGCGAUGGUAGCCGCACCGCACAUCCGCCUGUUCACCAUCGCACCCUAUGGGUGCGAUGGUAGCCGCACCGCACAUCCGCCUGUUCACCGUCGCGCCCUAUGGGUGCGAUGGUAGCCGCACCGCACAUCCGCCUGUUCACCAUCGCACCCUAUGGGCGCGAUGGUAGCCGCGCCGCACAUCCGCCUGUUCACCGUCGCACCCUAUGGGUGCGAUGGUAGCCGCGCCGCACAUCCGCCUGUUCACCAUCGCGCCCUAUGGGCGCGAUGGUAGCCGCGCCGCACAUCCGCCUGUUCACCAUCGCACCCUAUGGGUGCGAUGGUAGCCGCACCGCACAUCCGCCUGUUCACCAUCGCGCCCUAUGGGCGCGAUGGUAGCCGCGCCGCACAUCCGCCUGUUCNNNNNNNNNNNNNNNNNNNNNNNNNNNNNNNNNNNNNNNNNNNNNNNNNNGCCGACGCAUCUCACGGCGGGGGUUAAUUGCGUGCGCGUUCGCAUGCGGCAUGUCCCGCCACCUUUCUGGCAUCUAGUUGAUGGUAUGAUGAAUCGUUGUGCGGUGUAGGGCUGCGCCUGAUGCGAUUUCGUUUGCGGAAGCCCCCCCUGAGUGCUGCCAAACAUGUUAUUCUCUCAUGAGACUGCGUUAAGGUUUACGAACUGAGUAUGCGACCAACACAUAAAACAUCGCAUGCGAAUUGUUAUGUCAUGCGAUUCAUCAAAGGUAAAUCGUGUGUGCUUGUUGUGUGUUAGCUUAGGCCGCAUUAAGCUUGACGCAACGAGCCUUCAUACGCUUGAAAUGCAACAUUUGUUUGCAUGCGAAUUGCGUUGCGAUAUGUGUGCGUUUGGUAAGUGUUAGGCUGCGUUAAGCUUUACGCAAUGAGCCUUUAUACGCAUGAAACGCAGCAUGUAUUAGCAUGCGAAAUGCGUUGCGAAAUGUGUGCGUAAGGUGAGUGUUAGGCCGCGUUAAGCUUUACGCAAUCAGCCUUCAUACGCAUGAUACGCAACAUGCAUUCGCAUGCAAAUAGCCUUGCGGACUGUGUGCGUUUGGUGUGCGAGUGGACGCGAAUUGCUUUACGCAUUGUCUCCCCACACGCAUGAAUCGCAAUAUGGAAUCGCAUGCGUAUCGCCUUGCUACACAUGCGCGUAUGCUUCGCGUUUCAACAUACGCACGGAUGAAUUGUUCAAGUCGACCAAAACGACGCAAGUUUAUUUCCAAAUAAACCUUUACAAUCUGAAAAUUAUAAAUUUUUAAAAAACUUGGCCGAUUUCCGCUUUUCCAUAGCCGUUGUGCGUUAGCUCUUUGCGUUACAAAAGCAUGCUCAUUCGCACCUAACGCUAAGAUUCGCACCGUUACGCGAACUAACGCGAGCUAACGCGGACUUAACGCGAUCACCCGUUGUCAUAGUGGUGGACAGCUAGCUCUUAUGGCNNNNNNNNNNNNNNNNNNNNNNNNNNNNNNNNNNNNNNNNNNNNNNNNNNNNNNNNNNNNNNNNNNNNNNNNNNNNNNNNNNNNNNNNNNNNNNNNNNNNNNNNNNNNNNNNNNNNNNNNNNNNNNNNNNNNNNNNNNNNNNNNNNNNNNNNNNNNNNNNNNNNNNNNNNNNNNNNNNNNNNNNNNNNNNNNNNNNNNNNNNNNNNNNNNNNNNNNNNNNNNNNNNNNNNNNNNNNNNNNNNNNNNNNNNNNNNNNNNNNNNNNNNNNNNNNNNNNNNNNNNNNNACCAUCGCGCCCUAUGGGCGCGAUGGUAGCCGCACCGCACAUCCGCCUGUUCACCGUCGCACCCUCUGGGCGCAAUGAUAGCCGCUCUGCACAUCCGCCUGUUCACCAUCGCACCCUCUGGGUGUGAUGGUAGCCGCGCCGCACAUCCACCUGUUCACUGUCGCGCCCUAUGGGUGCGAUGGUAGCCGCACCGCACAUCCGCCUGUUCACCUUCACGCCCUCUGGGUGCGAUGGUAGCCACGCCGCACAUCCGCCUGUUCACCAUCGCACCCUAUGGGUGCGAUGGUAGCCCUGCCGCACAUCCGCCUGUUCACCAUCGCACCCUAUGGGUGCGAUGGUAGCCGUGCCGCACAUCCGCCUGUUCACCAUGACACCCUCUGGGUACGAUGGUAGCCGCACCGCACAUCCGCCUGUUCACCAUUGCACCCUAUGGGUGCGAUGGUAGCCCUGCCGCACAUCCGCCUGUUCACCAUCGCACCCUAUGGGUGCGAUGGUAGCCGUGCCGCACAUCCGCCUGUUCACCAUGACACCCUCUGGGUACGAUGGUAGCCGCACCGCACAUCCGCCUGUUCACCAUUGCACCCUCUGGGUGUGAUGGUAGCCGUGCCGCACAUCCACCUGUUCACUGUUGCACCCUCUGGGCACGAUGGUAGCCGCGCCGCACAUCCACCUGUUUACCGUCGCACCCUUUGGGCGCGAUGGUAGCCACACCGCACAUCCGCCUGUUCACCAUUGCACCCUAUGGGUGCGAUGGUAGCCGUGCCGCACAUCCACCUGUUCACCGAUCGCACCCUAUGGGUGCGAUGGUAGCCGCGCCGCACAUCCGCCUGUUCACCGACGCGCCCUAUGGGUGCGAUGGUAGCCGCACCGCACAUCCGCCUGUUCAGUGUCGCGCCCUAUGGGUGCGAUGGUAGCCUGCCGCACAUCCGCCUGUUCACCCUCACGCCCUCUGGGCGCGAUGGUAGCCGCGCCGCACAUCCGCCUGUUCACCAUCACGCCCUCUGGGUGCGAUGGUAGCCGCACCGCACAUCCGCCUGUUCACUGUCGCGCCCUCUGGGUGCGAUGGUAGCCGUGCCGCACAUCCGCCUGUUCACCAUCGCGCCCUAUGGGUGCGAUGGUAGCCACGCCGCACAUCCGCCUGUUCACCAUUGCACCCUAUGGGUGCGAUGGUAGCCGCGCCGCACAUCCGCCUGUUCACCGUCACACCCUCUGGGUGCGAUGGUAGCCGUGCCGCACAUCCACCUGUUCACCGAUCGCACCCUAUGGGUGCGAUGGUAGCCGCGCCGCACAUCCGCCUGUUCACCGUCGCACCCUAUGGGUGCGAUGGUAGCCGCACCGCACAUCCGCCUGUUCAGUGUCGCGCCCUAUGGGUGCGAUGGUAGCCGCCGCACAUCCACCUGUUCACCCUCACGCCCUCUGGGCGCGAUGGUAGCCGCGCCGCACAUCCGCCUGUUCACCAUCGCGCCCUAUGGGUGCGAUGGUAGCCACGCUGCACAUCCGCCUGUUCACCAUUGCGCCCUCUGGGUGCGAUGGUAGCCGUGCCGCACAUCCGCCUGUUCACCGUCACACCCUCUGGGUGCGAUGGUAGCCGUGCCGCACAUCCACCUGUUCACUGUCGCGCCCUAUGGGUGCGAUGGUAGCCGUGCCGCACAUCCGCCUGUUCACUAUCACGCCCUCUGGGUGCGAUGGUAGCCCUGCCGCACAUCCGCCUGUUCACCAUCGCACCCUAUGGGUGCGAUGGUAGCCGUGCCGCACAUCCGCCUGUUCACCAUCGCACCCUAUGGGUACGAUGGUAGCCGCGCCGCACAUCCGCCUGUUCACCGUCGCACCCUCUGGGCGCGAUGGUAGCCGUGCCGCACAUCCGCCUGUUCACCGUCGCACCCUCUGGGUGCGAUGGUAGCCGCGCCGCACAUCCGCCUGUUCACCGUCGCACCCUUUGGGUGCGAUGGUAGCCGCACCGCACAUCCGCCUGUUCACCAUCACGCCCUAUGGGUGCGAUGGUAGCCGCGCCGCACAUCCGCCUGUUCACCAUCGCGCCCUAUGGGUGCGAUGGUAGCCGUGCCGCACAUCCGCCUGUUCACCAUCGCGCCCUCUGGGUGCGAUGGUAGCCGUGCCGCACAUCCGCCUGUUCACCAUCGCACCCUAUGGGUGCGAUGGUAGCCACGCCGCACAUCCGCCUGUUCACCAUCGCACCCUAUGGGUGCGAUGGUAGCCGUGCCGCACAUCCGCCUGUUCACCAUGACACCCUAUGGGUACGAUGGUAGCCGCGCCGCACAUCCGCCUGUUCACUGUUGCGCCCUCUGGGCGUGAUGGUAGCCGUGCCACACAUCCGCCUGUUCACCAUCGCGCCCUCUGGGCGCGAUGGUAGCCACGCCGCACAUCCGCCUGUUCACCAUUGCACCCUAUGCGUGCGAUGGUAGCCGUGCCGCACAUCCGCCUGUUCACCGUCACACCCUCUGGGCGCGAUGGUAGCCGUGCCGCACAUCCACCUGUUCACCGACGCGCCCUCUGGGCACGAUGGUAGCCGCGCCGCACAUCCGCCUGUUCACUGUCGCACCCUAUGGGUGCGAUGGUAGCCGCACCACACAUCCGCCUGUUCAGUGUCGCGCCCUAUGGGUGCGAUGGUAGCCGCACUGCACAUCCGCCUGUUCACCCUCACGCCCUCUGGGCGCGAUGGUAGCCGCGCGGCACAUCCGCCUGUUCACCAUCGCACCCUAUGGGUGCGAUGGUAGCCGCGCUGCACAUCCACCUGUUCACCAUCGCACCCUCUGGGUGCGAUGGUAGCCGUGCCGCACAUCCGCCUGUUCACUGUUGCGCCCUAUGGGUGCGAUGGUAGCCGCGCCGCACAUCCACCUGUUCACUGUCGCACCCUAUGGGCGCGAUGGUAGCCGCACCGCACAUCCGCCUGUUCACCAUCGCACCCUAUGGGUGCGAUGGUAGCCGCGCCGCACAUCCGCCUGUUCACCGUCGCGCCCUAUGGGUGCGAUGGUAGCCGCGCCGCACAUCCGCCUGUUCACCAUCGCGCCCUCUGGGUGCGAUGGUAGCCGCGCCGCACAUCCACCUGUUCACCAUCGCACCCUCUGGGCGCGAUGGUAGCCACACCGCACAUCCGCCUGUUCACCAUUGCACCCUAUGGGUGCGAUGGUAGCCGCACCACACAUCCGCCUGUUCACUGUCGCGCCCUAUGGGUGCGAUGGUAGCCGCCCCCGUGCUGCACAUCCGCUUGUUCACCAUCGCACCCUCUGGGUGCGAUGGUAGCCGCGCCGCACAUCCGCCUGUUCACCAUCGCGCCCUAUGGGUGCGAUGGUAGCCGCACCGCACAUCCGCCUGUUCACUGUCGCGCCCUAUGGGUGCGAUGGUAGCCGCGCCGCACAUCCACCUGUUCACCAUCGCGCCCUCUGGGUGCGAUGGUAGCCGCGCCGCACAUCCGCCUGUUCACCAUUGCGCCCUCUGGGCGCGAUGGUAGCCGCGCCGCACAUCCACCUGUUCACCGUCGCACCCUAUGGGUGCGAUGGUAGCCGCACCACACAUCCGCCUGUUCACCAUCGCGCCCUAUGGGCGUGAUGGUAGCCGCGCCGCACAUCCGCCUGUUCACCGUCGCGCCCUAUGGGUGCGAUGGUAGCCGCACCGCACAUCCGCCUGUUCACCAUUGCGCCCUCUGGGCGCGAUGGUAGCCGCGCCGCACAUCCGUCUGUUCACCAUCGCGCCCUAUGGGCGCGAUGGUAGCCGCGCCGCACAUCCGCCUGUUCACCGUCGCACCCUAUGGGCGCGAUGGUAGCCGCGCCGCACAUCCGCCUGUUCACCAUCGCGCCCUAUGGGUGCGAUGGUAGCCGCACCGCACAUCCGCCUGUUCACCAUCGCACCCUAUGGGUGCGAUGGUAGCCGCACCGCACAUCCGCCUGUUCACCAUCACACCCUAUGGGCGCGAUGGUAGCCGCGCCACACAUCCGCCUGUUCACCAUCGCGCCCUAUGGGUGCGAUGGUAGCCGCGCCGCACAUCCGCCUGUUCACCAUCGCACCCUAUGGGUGCGAUGGUAGCCGCGCCGCACAUCCGCCUGUUCACCAUCGCGCCCUAUGGGCGCGAUGGUAGCCGCGCCACACAUCCGCCUGUUCACCGUCGCGCCCUAUGGGUGCGAUGGUAGCCACACCACACAUCCGCCUGUUCACCAUUGCGCCCUCUGGGCGCGAUGGUAGCCGCGCCGCACAUCCAUCUGUUCACCAUCGCGCCCUAUGGGCGUGAUGGUAGCCGCGCCACACAUCCGCCUGUUCACCGUCGCACCCUAUGGGCGCGAUGGUAGCAGCGCCGCACAUCCGCCUGUUCACCAUUGCGCCCUAUGGGUGCGAUGGUAGCCGCGCCGCACAUCCGCCUGUUCACCAUCGCACCCUAUGGGUGCGAUGGUAGCCGCGCCGCACAUCCGCCUGUUCACCAUCGCGCCCUAUGGGCGCGAUGGUAGCCGCGCCACACAUCCGCCUGUUCACCAUCGCGCCCUAUGGGCGUGAUGGUAGCCAGCGCCACACAUCCGCCUGUUCACCAUCGCGCCCUCUGGGUGCGAUGGUAGCCGCGCCGCACAUCCGCCUGUUCACCAUCGCGCCCUAUGGGCGCGAUGGUAGCCGCACCGCACAUCCGCCUGUUCACCUCGCACCCUAUGGGUGCGAUGGUAGCCGCACCACACAUCCGCCUGUUCACCAUCGCGCCCUAUGGGUGCGAUGGUAGCCGCCCCCCACAUCCGCCUGUUCACCGUCGCACCCUAUGGGUGCGAUGGUAGCCGCACCGCACAUCCGCCUGUUCACCGUCACGCCCUCUGGGCGCGAUGGUAGCCGCACCACACAUCCGCCUGUUCACCAUCGCACCCUAUGGGUGCGAUGGUAGCCGCGCCGCACAUCCGCCUGUUCACCAUCGCGCCCUAUGGGCGCGAUGGUAGCCGCGCCGCACAUCCGCCUGUUCACUGUCGCACCCUAUGGGUGCGAUGGUAGCCGCGCCGCACAUCUGCCUGUUCACCAUCGCACCCUAUGGGCGCGAUGGUAGCCGCGCCACACAUCCGCCUGUUCACCGUCGCACCCUAUGGGUGCGAUGGUAGCCGCACCGCACAUCCGCCUGUUCACCGUCGCGCCCUAUGGGUGCGAUGGUAGCCGCACCACACAUCCGCCUGUUCACCAUCGCACCCUAUGGGCGCGAUGGUAGCCGCGCCACACAUCCGCCUGUUCACCAUCGCACCCUAUGGGCGCGAUGGUAGCCGCACCACACAUCCGCCUGUUCACCGUCGCACCCUAUGGGUGCGAUGGUAGCCGCACCGCACAUCCGCCUGUUCACCGUCGCGCCCUAUGGGUGCGAUGGUAGCCGCACCACACAUCCGCCUGUUCACCAUCGCACCCUAUGGGUGCGAUGGUAGCCGCGCCGCACAUCCGCCUGUUCACCAUCGCACCCUAUGGGCGCGAUGGUAGCCGCGCCGCACAUCCGCCUGUUCACUGUCGCACCCUAUGGGUGCGAUGGUAGCCACACCGCACAUCCGCCUGUUCACCAUCGCACCCUAUGGGUGCGAUGGUAGCCGCACCACACAUCCGCCUGUUCACCGUCGCACCCUAUGGGUGCGAUGGUAGCCGCGCCACACAUCCGCCUGUUCACCGUGGCGCCCUCUGGGUGCGAUGGUAGCCGCGCCGCACAUCCGCCUGUUCACCGUCGCGCCCUAUGGGUGCGAUGGUAGCCGCGCCGCACAUCCAUCUGUUCACCAUCGCGCCCUAUGGGCGUGAUGGUAGCCGCGCCACACAUCCGCCUGUUCACCGUCGCACCCUAUGGGCGUGAUGGUAGCAGCGCCGCACAUCCGCCUGUUCACCAUUGCACCCUAUGGGUGCGAUGGUAGCCGC